AAUAAUGAAAAAUCUGAUAGAGAUGAGAAGACAAAUAAUAGCGCAACAUACAGUAUAGAAAAUGUUUAUCUCUUAAGUAGAUUCAUUAGAAAUGUUAAAUCUUCUCGAUGAAUAUCAAUUGAAGUUAUUCAAAUCAAAAACAUUGUGUAGUAUUAUGGGAACUGUAAAUAAAGAAAUGGAAUGAGAAUGAAAAAUGAGAAA
Molecule: long non-coding RNA, 201 nt
Filed under: Polistes fuscatus (common paper wasp)
Lineage: Eukaryota; Metazoa; Arthropoda; Insecta; Hymenoptera; Vespidae
Description: uncharacterized LOC122523793
Source: RNAcentral